Molecule: ribosomal RNA, 433 nt
Filed under: Enterococcus casseliflavus
Lineage: Bacteria; Bacillati; Bacillota; Bacilli; Lactobacillales; Enterococcaceae
Description: bacterial SSU rRNA
Rfam family: Bacterial small subunit ribosomal RNA
Source: RNAcentral
GACGAACGCUGGCGGCGUGCCUAAUACAUGCAAGUCGAACGCUUUUUCUUUCACCGGAGCUUGCUCCAUCGAAAGAAAAAGAGUGGCGAACGGGUGAGUAACACGUGGGUAACCUGCCCAUCAGAAGGGGAUAACACUUGGAAACAGGUGCUAAUACCGUAUAACACUAUUUUCCGCAUGGAAGAAAGUUGAAAGGCGCUUUUGCGUCACUGAUGGAUGGACCCGCGGUGCAUUAGCUAGUUGGUGAGGUAACGGCUCACCAAGGCAACGAUGCAUAGCCGACCUGAGAGGGUGAUCGGCCACACUGGGACUGAGACACGGCCCAGACUCCUACGGGAGGCAGCAGUAGGGAAUCUUCGGCAAUGGACGAAAGUCUGACCGAGCAAACGCCGCGUGAGUGAAGAAAGGUUUUUCGGAUCGUAAAAACUUCUGU